This is a long non-coding RNA of Sapajus apella (tufted capuchin), 935 nucleotides long. RefSeq lists it as uncharacterized. The transcript has 2 exons. The record is from RefSeq and is a predicted model, not a curated record. Lineage: Eukaryota; Metazoa; Chordata; Mammalia; Primates; Cebidae.
UGGGCGCGACCCGGACUCCUGGGCGUUCAUUGGAGCCGCCAAGUGCUCGUCACCGCCCCCUCCCGCCCCUUCAUGCCACGCUCUGAGGCCGCCUACUAGCAAGCUAUGGCACAGCGAGAAAGGUCAUUUGUUCUUCCGGAAGCUGCAGAGAAAGGGAACCCGGAAACCUAGUAUGCUGACAGAAAGGGUAAGAAAUCUUUACGGCCCAAGUUUCUGCUUUCUCUCUCUCUGUGUGUAAAUGGUAAAUGUCGCUGUUUGCCUCCCCUGCAAGGGUUUAAUUAAUAGAAAGAAAAGUAUCUGUGAGACUACUGUAAUAGAUUUGGUGCACUUUGUGCUAAGAAUUUAUCUUUCUGUAGUGGAGAGAAGGGUAUCAAAGGAUAGAACAUGGGUUUAGGACCUCUUUAAGGCCACGUUUCAAGCCAUCCCUGCCGGCUGGUUGGUUACAAACUUUGCUACAGGUCCCUGAAACCAAUACCAAAUGAAAUUUCUCUGUCUUGUUUUGUGUCUUUAAGAGCUUAACCUCAUGACCAUGAGGGGAUACUUUCUCUUGGUCUCCACCAUCCAAGGACAGGAAAUUUGGGGUUCAUGUCAAUAGCCCUAAAAAUUAUCUCAAGCAGUUAAAAGCCUUUGCAAGUUUGAAAUCGGCUGCUCUAGACUUCUGGGAAAAGCAAUAGAAACUGUUCAAUGCUGUGUAACUUAGUUAACUAAGGCUUUAUCUUUUGACAUUGUUGACCUGAGUUCAAUUCUUAGUUUCAGGAAUGAUGCCUUUCUGGUUUGUUCUUUGUGUAACUUUGCCAUUUAUUGAGGGAAAAAUGGCUGGUUUCUCAUUUUCUGUCUUGACUGUCUUGGAUUUUCCUUUCUCUGAACUACCCUUGGAGAGAUUCUAAAUCUUGGAAAAAAGAAACAAAAAAUAACAACCAAAAAAAAAAAAAAAA